Molecule: ribosomal RNA, 253 nt
Filed under: uncultured bacterium
Lineage: Bacteria
Description: partial 16S ribosomal RNA
Rfam family: Bacterial small subunit ribosomal RNA
Source: RNAcentral
UACAUGGGGUGCAAACGUUGCUCGGAAUUAUUGGGCGUAAAGCGCACGUAGGCGGUUCGUUAAGUCGGAUGUGAAAGCCCUCGGCUCAACUGAGGAAGUGCACCCGAAACUGGCGAGCUUGAGUACGAAAGAGGAUCGCGGAAUUCCCGGUGUAGAGGUGAAAUUCGUAGAUAUCGGGAGGAACACCGGUGGCGAAGGCGGCGAUCUGGGUCGAUACUGACGCUGAGGUGGCGAAAGCGUGGGGAGCAACAGG